This 253-nucleotide ribosomal RNA is filed under the name uncultured bacterium. RNAcentral describes it as "partial 16S ribosomal RNA". It matches the Rfam family "Bacterial small subunit ribosomal RNA", at positions 524 to 776 of the family's 1533-position model. The record is from RNAcentral.
GACGUAGGGUGCGAGCGUUGUCCGGAUUUAUUGGGCGUAAAGAGCUCGUAGGCGGCUUGUUACGUCGGCUGUGAAAACCCGCGGCUCAACCGCGGGCCUGCAGCCGAUACGGGCAGGCUAGAGUUCGGUAGGGGAGACUGGAAUUCCUGGUGUAGCGGUGAAAUGCGCAGAUAUCAGGAGGAACACCUGUGGCGAAGGCGGCCCCCUGGUUGGAUACUGACGCUGAUACGCGAAAGCGUGGGGAGCAAACAGG